This is an RNA transcript of Hyla sarda, 3363 nucleotides long. It is a transcript of the gene named oocyte zinc finger protein XlCOF19-like, with no coding region annotated. The transcript has 5 exons. The record is from RefSeq and is a predicted model, not a curated record. Lineage: Eukaryota; Metazoa; Chordata; Amphibia; Anura; Hylidae.
CACAGUCUCAUCCCAUAAUGUCUCCCUCUUCUAUCCUUCUCUCUCCUCCAGCACACAGUCUCAUCCUGUAAAAAUCUCUCUCCUCCAGCACAGUCUCAUCCUGUAACGUCUCUCUCCUCCAGCACAGUCUUAUCCUCACAGUCUCAUCCAGUAAUGUCUCCCUCCUACGGUAUUAGAUUCGGAGAUGGCUUCAUAGAAUCAGGAAUUGCGGCGCUGAACCAGGCAUGGAGACGUGAAGAAAUAUGAAGAGACCGGCCAGUACAGGGAAUCACUUCAGAAUGAAGAGGGUGGGGAGCGGAGCUGAUCACCAGUAUCACUGGAAGUCUUGCGAGAUUACGCAACCAGCCGGAGUCUCCGUGCGUCACAGCAAGUCACGCGAGAAACAAGACUAUGCAGAAGCCGAAGAUAAACAGUAAUGGAAGCGCGAGCAAGAAGUACGACAAAAUCAAACCUAUAAGUAGGAUAUCAUUUUAACCAUCCAACAAUGAAGCUUUAUUGAAAACAUCUGAAGAAAUACAGAGUAUUAGGAGAAUACAAUAGAAAAUAGGUCCGAGGACCCAACUUAGAACAUAACAAAAUGGACUAUGGAAGAUAUUGUGACUCACUACAGUCAUAAAGAUGAGACGACCAUUUCCACUAUGGAUAUAAAUGUAGAGAUUGCUGAGGUAUCCAGCAUAUCAAAAAGGAUCUCCAGUAACCGUGGUUCAGAAGAAGAGAUUGAGAAAACAUCAACCCCUAAUGAAACGCACAAUAUUGCAAACCCCUACCUUUGUACAGAAAAUCCAGAAUGUUUUACUUAUACUUCUAGUCUUCUGAAGUCUUCUAAAGUCCUAAAAAAAGGUGAUAAACAGUACAGUUGCAACACCUGUGGUAAGACAUUUGCUCGCAGUUCUAACCUUUUCAUGCAUAAAAUCAUACACACAGGUGAGAAACCCUAUGCAUGUAGUAUAUGUGAAAAAGGCUUUACUCAUAGCUCACACCUUGUGAGACAUGAAAGGGUCCAUACAGGAGCAAAGCCAUAUAUCUGCCCAGACUGUGGGAAAAGCUUUAACCAAAGCUCUAAUUUAGUAACCCAUCAACGAACCCAUACAGGAGAGCGACCAUUUUCAUGCACAGAAUGUGGCAAAAGGUUUACAGACUACUCUGCACUUGUAAGGCACCUGAGAGUCCACUCUGGUGAAAAACCAUAUUCCUGCAUAACCUGUGGCAAAGGGUUUUCAGAUCGCUCCAACCUUAUAGUUCAUCACAGGACCCACACAGGAGAAAGACCCUAUGUGUGUAUUGAGUGUGGGAAAGGAUUUACCGAUAGUUCUUCUCUUGCAAAGCACAGAAAAACCCAUGAUACAAAGAAGCUGUACAUUUGCUCUAAGUGUGGCAGAAGCUUCCUUGACUAUUCCUCUCUUGUUAAGCAUCAAAAAACUAAAGAAGCAACAGAUACUUAAGCUUAACCCACUGUUACUUCUAGCAUCAGGGCCAUAAACUAUGUGUAUUAUGUAUUUAUUUGUUGUGAAAUGUAUACCUAAAAUAUAAUAUGCUAAGUUUUAACUAUGUACAGAGAGAGAGAGAUAGAAAUGUGCCAAUCAACUGAUUUAUGUAUAAUAUUGUGUAAUUGUCAAAAUAUCAAUGAUUAUUUUAAAUGCAAUUGCAUCCCCGGUUUCUUCUACUAAAUGAUGAAGCAAUUUUUCAUUUAAUUUUCCAUCUACAGACCCAUAUGAAGGCUUGUUGUUUGCAGAACCAAUUGUGCUUGGUAAAGACAUUAAUUAUUUUACCACAAAAUCUAUGGUGAGGCCAAUAAAAAAAAUAUUUUUGGGGUAAAAUUGAAAAAAAUAUAUAAAAUUUUGCAACUGUGUUUCUUCACAGUACACUUUACGGUUAAAAUGAAAUAUUAUCUUUAUUUUAUAGAUCCCUAUAAUUACACUCAUACCUAGUUUAUAUAGGUUUUGUUUUGUUUUACUACUUAAAAAAAAUUUAAACAUGUUGUAAGAAAAUGAAAAUGCUUAUAUUUACCCUCUUGUGACCCGUAUAACUCUUAUUUUUUAUAUACGAGGCUGUAUGAUAGCUAAUUUUUUGCGCCGUGAUCUGUAUUUUUAAUUCGUACUUUUGUUUGUAUUGGACUUUUUGAUUGCUUUUUAUGAAUAUUUUGCUGGUAUAUGAAGUGACCAAUAAUUCAGCAAUUGUGGUAGUUUUUUUUUUUAUGUUAAUGCCAUUCACUCUGCGGUUCCAUGUUUUAUUUUAAUAGUUCGGACAUUUAUGCAUGCAGCAAUGCAAAAUAUGUUUACAUAUCUUUACAUAAAGAUGGCACAGAGGCAGGUGGAACCUUCCAGUCAUCAUGUCAGCUGUUUGGGACUCUGUGAUAACCCCAUGGUGGCCCUGACCAGCACCAGUAUUUUUUGACUGCCCUUAGUUGUCACAAUCGACUUUGAUUGCUUGAUCUAAGGGGUUAAUAGCCACGCAGCGAUCAACUUAAGUGACAUCAUUAUCAUGCACAGUAGCAGAGACCAGAGUAGAAGACAGAAGAGAGGACGCGCAGCAUAGGAGCAUAUGCAUAUGUGUUUUUUUUUAUCUUGGCUAUCUGAAGGGGGGCUAAUAUUUCUACCUAAAGAGGUCUACUAAUUCUACCUAAAGGGGGUAAUAUUUCUAAAUAAAGAGGGAAACUGUUUCUACCUAAAGGGGGUACUAUUUUUAACUGAAGGGGGGUAAUAUUACUACCUAAAGGGGCUAUAGCUGCCACUACCUAAAGGGGGCUCCUAUUACUACCUUUAGGGGGCUACUACUACUACCUAAAGCGGCCUCCUAUUACUACCUUAAAAGGGUUACUAUUAACUACCUGAAGGGGGCUCCUAUUAGUACCUAAAGGGGGUACUAUGAAUAUCUUAAGGGGAAUACUUUUACUAAAAAGACUUUCUUAAUGAUAUAAAAAAAAAAUUGGAUUCACAGAAUUUUUUUUACCAUAAAUACAGCAUUUGAAAAUAUACUUUUUAAAAGUUUUUCCUUUAUAAAUGAAGAAUUCCCAAAAUUGGAUACAAACAUAUAAUCACCAAUAAAUCAAUAGGUGUAUGUGUUAUUGGCUCAAUGGGAUGGAUAUUUUACAAAUAUAGAUAUACACGAAUCUAUGCACCACUAUUGAUAGCUUAAUAUGAACAAAUAGACAUAUAUGUACAAAGAAAAUUCUAAAUGAUAGUUUAAUAUGAACAAAUAGGCAUAUAUGUACAAAAAUUUUUAAAAAACAAAUUAAAGGGGUAGUCCAGUGGUGAAAAACGGAUCCCCUAUCAUAAGGAUAGGGGAUAAGUUUGAGAUUGCGGGGGGGUCUGACCGCUGGGGCCAGGCUCUCCAGCCAGAUAGCGGGUGUCGACCACCGCACGA